CUAUAGGAAAUUGUUAGUGGCAGACGGGUGAGUAAUGCGUAGGAAUCUACCUAGUAGUACGGAAUAGCCAUUAGAAAUGGUGGGUAAUACUGUAUAAUCCCCGAGGGGGAAAGAUUUAUCGCUAUUAGAUGAGCCUACGUUAGAUUAGCUAGUUGGUGAGGUAAUGGCUUACCAAGGCUAUGAUCUAUAGCUGGUCUGAGAGGACGAUCAGCCACACUGGAACUGAGAUACGGUCCAGACUCCUACGGGAGGCAGCAGUGGGGAAUAUUGGACAAUGGGCGAAAGCCUGAUCCAGCUAUGCCGCG
This 305-nucleotide ribosomal RNA is filed under the name Ehrlichia canis. RNAcentral's name for it is "bacterial SSU rRNA". It matches the Rfam family "Bacterial small subunit ribosomal RNA", at positions 78 to 401 of the family's 1533-position model. The record is from RNAcentral. Lineage: Bacteria; Pseudomonadati; Pseudomonadota; Alphaproteobacteria; Rickettsiales; Anaplasmataceae.